CCUACGGGAGGCAGCAGUGGGGAAUAUUGGACAAUGGGGGGAACCCUGAUGCAGCGACGCCGCGUGAGUGAAGAAGUAUUUCGGUAUGUAAAGCUCUAUCAGCAGGGAAGAAAAUGACGGUACCUGAGUAAGAAGCCCCGGCUAACUACGUGCCAGCAGCCGCGGUAAUACGUAGGGGGCAAGCGUUAUCCGGAUUUACUGGGUGUAAAGGGAGCGUAGACGGCGGUGCAAGUCUGGAGUGAAAGGCGGGGGCUCAACCCCGGGACUGCUCUGGAAACUGUACGGCUGGAGUGCAGGAGAGGUAAGCGGAAUUCCUAGUGUAGCGGUGAAAUGCGUAGAUAUUAGGAGGAACACCAGUGGCGAAGGCGGCUUACUGGACUGUAACUGACGUUGAGGCUCGAAAGCGUGGGGAGCAAACAGGAUUAGAUACCCUUGUAGUC
Molecule: ribosomal RNA, 440 nt
Filed under: uncultured bacterium
Lineage: Bacteria
Description: partial 16S ribosomal RNA
Rfam family: Bacterial small subunit ribosomal RNA
Source: RNAcentral